This 74-nucleotide transfer RNA is filed under the name Planctomyces sp. Its description in RNAcentral is "tRNA-Arg". It matches the Rfam family "tRNA". From Rfam's summary of the family: Transfer RNA (tRNA) molecules are approximately 80 nucleotides in length. Their secondary structure includes four short double-helical elements and three loops (D, anti-codon, and T loops). Further hydrogen bonds mediate the characteristic L-shaped molecular structure. tRNAs have two regions of fundamental functional importance: the anti-codon, which is responsible for specific mRNA codon recognition, and the 3' end, to which the tRNAs corresponding amino acid is attached (by aminoacyl-tRNA synthetases). tRNAs cope with the degeneracy of the genetic code in two manners: having more than one tRNA (with a specific anti-codon) for a particular amino acid; and 'wobble' base-pairing, i.e. permitting non-standard base-pairing at the 3rd anti-codon position. Lineage: Bacteria; Pseudomonadati; Planctomycetota; Planctomycetia; Planctomycetales; Planctomycetaceae. The record is from RNAcentral. RNAcentral also lists the same sequence under 1 other name.
GCGGGCGUAGCUCAAUUGGAUAGAGCAUCUGACUACGGAUCAGAAGGUUAGGGGUUCGAGUCCCUUCGCCCGUA